This is a long non-coding RNA of Schistocerca gregaria, 246 nucleotides long. RefSeq lists it as uncharacterized. NCBI's taxonomy places the organism in Eukaryota, Metazoa, Arthropoda, Insecta, Orthoptera, Acrididae. The transcript has 3 exons. The record is from RefSeq and is a predicted model, not a curated record.
GUCCAGUUAGGCAAACUAGAGUUAUCAUUGCUCUAUGACUCCUUUGCUGGUGCACUUCAUUGUUCACUUCACAGAGCAAAAGGAUUGAAACCAAUGGAUAUAAAUGGGCUAUCAGAUCCAUUUUGCAGACUUAGUCUCAUACCAGCAGAAGGAAGGUCCAAUACAUUAAGAACUAAAACAGUCCACAAAACAAGAAACCCAGAGUUUAAUGAAACUCUCACAUUUUAUGCAGUAUCAGAGGAAGAG